GGAAAAAUUACCACCACUCCUGAUUCACAACUCUGGCAGCUACAGAUUGACACAAUCUGUACUGGCCCACAGCCACAGAAGAAUAUUGGACUUCCCUGCUGCAGGUGGCAUGGCUUAUGUUUAAAGGCACAAAGACUCACAUGCUCCACCAUUAAUCAUCUGAGAACUUUGUACAAAAUGGAAGUAGGUUUUUCUGUUUAUUCACUGUUUAUCUUGUUUACAAAAGUACAGCAAGCAAAGAUAGUAA
Long non-coding RNA from Athene cunicularia (burrowing owl), 247 nucleotides. RefSeq lists it as uncharacterized. NCBI's taxonomy places the organism in Eukaryota, Metazoa, Chordata, Aves, Strigiformes, Strigidae. The record is from RefSeq and is a predicted model, not a curated record. The transcript is spliced from 3 exons.